CUUCCACAAUGGACGCAAGUCUGAUGGAGCAACGCCGCGUGAGUGAAGAAGGGUUUCGGCUCGUAAAGCUCUGUUGUUAAAGAAGAACGUGGGUGAGAGUAACUGUUCACCCAGUGACGGUAUUUAACCAGAAAGCCACGGCUAACUACGUGCCAGCAGCCGCGGUAAUACGUAGGUGGCAAGCGUUAUCCGGAUUUAUUGGGCGUAAAGCGAGCGCAGGCGGUCUUUUAAGUCUAAUGUGAAAGCCUUCGGCUCAACCGAAGAAGUGCAUUGGAAACUGGGAGACUUGAGUGCAGAAGAGGACAGUGGAACUCCAUGUGUAGCGGUGAAAUGCGUAGAUAUAUGGAAGAACACCAGUGGCGAAGGCGGCUGUCUGGUCUGUAACUGACGCUGAGGCUCGAAAGCAUGGGUAGCGAACAGGAUUAGAUACCCUGGUAGUCCAUGCCGUAAACGAUGAUUACUAAGUGUUGGAGGGUUUCCGCCCUUCAGUGCUGCAGCUAACGCAUUAAGUAAUCCGCCUGGGGAGUACGACCGCAAGGUUGAAACUCAAAAGAAUUGACGGGGGCCCGCACAAGCGGUGGAGCAUGUGGUUUAAUUCGAAGCUACGCGAAGAACCUUACCAGGUCUUGACAUCUUCUGCCAACCUAAGAGAUUAGGCGUUCCCUUCGGGGACAGAAUGACAGGUGGUGCAUGGUUGUCGUCAGCUCGUGUCGUGAGAUGUUGGGUUAAGUCCCGCAACGAGCGCAACCCUUAUUACUAGUUGCCAGCAUUCAGUUGGGCACUCUAGUGAGACUGCCGGUGACAAACCGGAGGAAGGUGGGGACGACGUCAAAUCAUCAUGCCCCUUAUGACCUGGGCUACACACGUGCUACAAUGGAUGGUACAACGAGUCGCGAAACCGCGAGGUUUAGCUAAUCUCUUAAAACCAUUCUCAGUUCGGACUGUAGGCUGCAACUCGCCUACACGAAGUCGGAAUCGCUAGUAAUCGCGGAUCAGCAUGCCGCGGUGAAUACGUUCCCGGGCCUUGUACACACCGCCCGUCACACCAUGAGAGUUUGUAACACCCAAAGCCGGUGGGGUAACCUUUUAGGAGCUAGCCGUCUAAGGUGGG
RNAcentral lists this ribosomal RNA (1111 nucleotides) under Pediococcus acidilactici. RNAcentral's name for it is "bacterial SSU rRNA". It matches the Rfam family "Bacterial small subunit ribosomal RNA", at positions 363 to 1466 of the family's 1533-position model. The record is from RNAcentral. Lineage: Bacteria; Bacillati; Bacillota; Bacilli; Lactobacillales; Lactobacillaceae.